UACGAAGGGGGCUAGCGUUGCUCGGAAUCACUGGGCGUAAAGGGUGCGUAGGCGGGUCUUUAAGUCAGGGGUGAAAUCCUGGAGCUCAACUCCAGAACUGCCUUUGAUACUGAGGAUCUUGAGUUCGGGAGAGGUGAGUGGAACUGCGAGUGUAGAGGUGAAAUUCGUAGAUAUUCGCAAGAACACCAGUGGCGAAGGCGGCUCACUGGCCCGAAACUGACGCUGAGGCACGAAAGCGUGGGGAGCAAACAGG
This 253-nucleotide ribosomal RNA is filed under the name uncultured bacterium. RNAcentral's name for it is "partial 16S ribosomal RNA". It matches the Rfam family "Bacterial small subunit ribosomal RNA", at positions 524 to 776 of the family's 1533-position model. The record is from RNAcentral.